RNAcentral lists this long non-coding RNA (1570 nucleotides) under Helianthus annuus (common sunflower). The record is from RNAcentral. Lineage: Eukaryota; Viridiplantae; Streptophyta; Magnoliopsida; Asterales; Asteraceae.
AUGUUUAAUUAAUAAUAAUGAACUUAAACUAUCAAAAUAAUUCCAAGACAUCAAAUAUGUUGUGUCGUUAGCAAAUCAUGUAGCCAUGAUGAUUGUGUGUAAUUGACCUUUAUUGGAUUUUGUGUUCGUUCUGCAAAUUGCAAUAAUCAAAAGGUCUUGGUCAAUAUAUUACAUAUUACCCUUUACUCUCUCCUCCUCCACAUAUAUUGUCAUCUAUCACAAUUUGACAAUACUACCCUUUUUCUGCAAAUACCUAAGAUCCUCUUCUAAUCAUUCCUGAUCUCUAGAAAACCCUAAUAUAACAACCCCCCCCCCCCCCCCCCCCCCUUCAUUCCAAAUUCGAAUAAAAUGGAUUGUUGUGACCUUAACAAAACUCUAGUACCCUCUCUUUUCUCAUAUAUUUCAAGAUUUUAUGCUCAUUUCUACCACCAUUUACCUCAAGAAAACUCUAGCCUUCUUCUUCUCUUGGAAAAUUGAGUAAUGUUCUAAGAUAAAUGAUAGGAAUGCUAGUAAGUCGUGUUGUUCGAGCGAAUUCUUUACACGCGUUUAAAAGGAAAAAAAUAUUUAAACAAUAACGUAACAUAGAGAAAAACAAACUUAGCACAAACCAAUCACAUAAGUUCAAAAAUACAAGAAUAGACUACCCAAAACCCUCAAAGUUAACUAGAAAGCACAAACCAAUCACAUAAGUUCAAAAAUACAAGAAUAAACUACCCAAAACCCUCAAAGUUAACUAAAAAAGAAGUGGCAGCUAGUUUCAUCCUCAUCUUAAUAUAUAAAAAAACAUAUAUAUGAAAGGAGUUUACAUAUACAUAUAUAGUAGAAAAUUUAAAAGUGUCUCUUGCUAUACACAUUUCUCUAAAUUGAAAACACAAAGUAGCGGUAGUUGAUACAAAAGAAGAUGAAGAUGAUGUAGAUGAGGAUAAAAGCAUGAUAGUAAAUCCCAAACAAACCGCUAAAAUAAUCAUAUACCAUUCAUAACACCAUUACGAAAAAGCUAGCUUUGUGUUUGUAUCUUUACCACAGCCACCAUAGGUCACCAUUUCUUGAAAUCCUUUCCUCGGUAUACCAAUCCGUUCAAUCAUCAAUCAAAAAACCAUCAAUCUAACUCUUACCUGUUGGAAAUAGGGUUUGGUCCACUUGGAACUUCAUGAGCAGCCGCUUCAAAUGAUCUUGUAGGCUUUGGAUGUGAUUGAUGACGGGUUCUUUGGUGACGAAAAUCGGUGGUGGUUGUUGGUGAUCUUGAGGAUUCAUCUUGGGAAUUUGAAGAGGUUGCUUGAUGAGUUGGAAGUGAUGCAACUUCCAUGGAACUAGAGGAUUGAAGCAUAGUGAUCAAGAUAGUUAAGAUCAAAAGUGCAACACAUAAAAGAGAAGAACAAGAUCUAGGGUUUGAGAAGAGAGAGAUUUGUGAAGAGGAUCUCAAUUUAGCCAUGCAGUAGUUGAUUGUUUCUGAGAAUAAAAUAUAAUACCACCCCCCAAAAGACCACAAGAGAUCAAUAUCCAUUAACCAAUUGCAUACACCCAAUGACUAAAUCUUGAGCACCACCCCAAGGAGAGAGAGAGAGAGAGA